This 466-nucleotide ribosomal RNA is filed under the name uncultured bacterium. RNAcentral's name for it is "partial 16S ribosomal RNA". It matches the Rfam family "Bacterial small subunit ribosomal RNA", at positions 29 to 507 of the family's 1533-position model. The record is from RNAcentral.
ACGAACGCUGGCGGCGUGCUUAACACAUGCAAGUCGAACGGAAAGGCCCUGCUUUUGUGGGGUGCUCGAGUGGCGAACGGGUGAGUAACACGUGAGUAACCUGCCCUUGACUUUGGGAUAACUUCAGGAAACUGGGGCUAAUACCGGAUAGGAGCUCCUGCUGCAUGGUGGGGGUUGGAAAGUUUCGGCGGUUGGGGAUGGACUCGCGGCUUAUCAGCUUGUUGGUGGGGUAGUGGCUUACAAGGCUUUGACGGGUAGCCGGCCUGAGAGGGUGACCGGCCACAUUGGGACUGAGAUACGGCCCAGACUCCUACGGGAGGCAGCAGUGGGGAAUAUUGCACAAUGGGCGGAAGCCUGAUGCAGCAACGCCGCGUGCGGGAUGACGGCCUUCGGGUUGUAAACCGCUUUCGCCUGUGACGAAGCGUGAGUGACGGUAAUGGGUAAAGAAGCACCGGCUAACUACGUG